UGGAGAGUUUGAUCCUGGCUCAGAGUGAACGCUGGCGGCGUGCCUAACACAUGCAAGUCGAACGAUGAUGGAGAGCUUGCUCUCCUGAUUAGUGGCGCACGGGUGAGUAAUGCAUAGAUAAUGUGCCCCUUAGUUCGGGAUAGCCACUGGAAACGGUGAUUAAUACCGGAUACUCCUUCUUGUUAUAAGACAAGUCGGGAAAGUUUUUCGCUAAGGGAUCAGUCUAUGUUCCAUCAGGUAGUUGGUGAGGUAAUGGCUCACCAAGCCUAUGACGGAUAUCUGGUUUGAGAGGAUGAUCAGACACACUGGAACUGAGACACGGUCCAGACUCCUACGGGAGGCAGCAGUGAGGAAUAUUGCACAAUGGAGGAAACUCUGAUGCAGCAACGCCGCGUGGAGGAUGACGCAUUUCGGUGUGUAAACUCCUUUUAUUAGGGAAGAUAAUGACGGUACCUAAUGAAUAAGCUCCGGCUAACUCC
Molecule: ribosomal RNA, 479 nt
Filed under: uncultured Campylobacterota bacterium
Lineage: Bacteria; Pseudomonadati; Campylobacterota
Description: bacterial SSU rRNA
Rfam family: Bacterial small subunit ribosomal RNA
Source: RNAcentral